GAGGCUCUGAUUGAAAGCUUGGAGCAAGCUGAUAGAGAGAAUGUUGGAAAGGCCAAGGAAACAGAAGCCCAAACCUCUAGUGAGAGGUCUGAAUUUAAAGAUGAAACAAGUGGCAGUUCUGGUUCUGAUGCUGAUAAAGAUGCAAGUUCCUCUGACUAGUUUUUUUGAAGUUGUCCCCCACUCUCCUGAUGGUGUGCUGUGAUGGGUGUUCUAUUUUUUUGGCAGUUAUGUUCUACUAUUUUAAUAUGUAUUUUUCUGGUUUGAUGGAUU
Molecule: long non-coding RNA, 270 nt
Filed under: Lathyrus oleraceus (garden pea)
Lineage: Eukaryota; Viridiplantae; Streptophyta; Magnoliopsida; Fabales; Fabaceae
Description: Pisum sativum (pea) long non-coding RNA (PSAT_LNC022034)
Source: RNAcentral